RNAcentral lists this ribosomal RNA (253 nucleotides) under uncultured bacterium. RNAcentral describes it as "partial 16S ribosomal RNA". It matches the Rfam family "Bacterial small subunit ribosomal RNA", at positions 524 to 776 of the family's 1533-position model. The record is from RNAcentral.
UACGGAGGGGGCGAGCGUUAUUCGGAAUUAUUGGGCGUAAAGCGCGCGCAGGUGGUUCCUUAAGUCUGAUGUGAAAGCCCACGGCUCAACCGUGGAGGGUCAUUGGAAACUGGGGAACUUGAGUGCAGAAGAGGAAAGUGGAAUUCCAAGUGUAGCGGUGAAAUGCGUAGAGAUUUGGAGGGACACCAGUGGCGAAGGCGACUUUCUGGUCUGUAACUGACACUGAGGCGCGAAGGCGUGGGGAGCAAACAGG